Molecule: ribosomal RNA, 1459 nt
Filed under: Triticum aestivum (bread wheat)
Lineage: Eukaryota; Viridiplantae; Streptophyta; Magnoliopsida; Poales; Poaceae
Description: partial small subunit ribosomal RNA
Source: RNAcentral
CCCAUCCCACGCCAUGUCUAAAAAAACACUCAACGCCUGAUCGAUCCAGAUCCCCAAUCCCGUCUCCGCUCCCACCUCCUCUCCUCCCCUCCCAAGUCCCAACCCUCCAUGGAGGGGGGAGCCGCCGGCGCAGGCCCCGCCCCCCAGAGCCGCCGCCGCCUCCGGCUCCGGCGGUGGCGGGGAGAAGGGCGCCCCGUGCCAGGAGUGCGGGGAGCAGCCGUGGAAGUACCGGUGCCCGGGCUGCUCCCGCCUCACCUGCAGCCUCCCCGGCGUGCAGGCCCACAAGCGCCCCCGCACCGUCCCCGUCCCGCUCGCCCAGUUCGACGACAACCAGCUCCUCUCCGAUUACAACUUGCUGGAGGAGACGAGCAUGGUCAGGGAGUCGGCCCACAGGCUGCUCGGCGGCUUCGGCCGCAACUUCGGCUGCGGCAUCGAGGAACGCCAUGGCGCGCAGCUGCCGCCGUGGCUCACCUUCCUCCGCAAGGCCGCGGAGCGCCGGGGUGUCCGGCUGGCCGUCCAAACCUGAAUUUUCCAUGGACCAUGUUUGUAACUUGUAUGUGUUGCUUUUGUUGCUUCAGUCUUCAGUUUACCAGGAGAUACUAGUGGUCAAUGUACCAGGUUGCUUGUUUCUACCGGGAUAAGUGUGAGGCAUACAUUCCUGCCGGUGUUGGCGGCUCGAUCAGGUCGGGGGGCAUCGGUCGCCGAGGCCGAGAAGACCGGGCUGUCGUUGGAUAGCUUCAAGACAACCGUUGUCAAACGCGACGACGAAAACAUCCAUUUUGAAGAAAUUCAUGGUUAUUUACAGUUUUGAGUUAGAUUUAUUCCAUUUGAAAUGAGGGCAUAUAUACUUGAUUGGGCAUACGGAAUCUUACUAGCUUCUAAAUCCGCUGAGCUGUACUGAUGAUCUGUUUUUGCUACUCACACAUUUUAUCCAAAGGAUCCUUAUGUCAAAACGAUGGCCACUUCUAGGUUGCUGAAGGAGGGAGCUGGCCUUCUUCACGUCUCGGGGCAGUGUCUUCCUUGGAUUCAACAAGGAGGGGACCCGGCCUUCUUCAUGUAUUGUGCAAUAAGGGUGAUCGACGCAGACUACCACAACCAGGUGGGUGUCGUGCUCUUCAACCACUCGGAGGCGGACUUCGCCGUGAAGCUCGGAGACUGCAUCGCGCAGAUAAUCGUCUAGGUGAUUGCGUCGCCGGAGGUCGCCGAGGUGGAGGACCUCAAUGCCACCGCCAGGAGGGAGGGAGGGUUCGGGUCCACCGGCGUUUGAACUCCGAGCCUUGGUAGAUACAUCUAGAGAAGUGGUCUGGUUGUUUGCGUCUGAUGUUAAAUGGGAUCUCAUGAUCCCUUGGAGUUGAGAUGUUCAAUGUUGCAGCCAUGAACGCUGGAAGUGCUAAACUGGUUCUGUGACCUUAGUUUAUUUUGCAUUGGACGUGUGUUGAUUUCCAUCCAUCAAUACUGC